UUUCCAUAAUGAACAUAAAAUGACAAGCACAUGCCUGAACUCAAGUGAUAGCUUAACUACUGAGAAA
This is a small nucleolar RNA of 67 nucleotides. Its record names the gene SNORD27. It matches the Rfam family "Small nucleolar RNA SNORD27". Rfam says of the family: U27 is a member of the C/D class of snoRNA which contain the C (UGAUGA) and D (CUGA) box motifs. The record is from Ensembl.